GCAUAUCAAUAAGCGGAGGAAAAGAAACCAACCGGGAUUGCCUCAGUAACGGCGAGUGAAGCGGCAAGAGCUCAAAUUUGAAAGCUGGCUCCUUCGGAGUCCGCAUUGUAAUUUGCAGAGGAUGCUUUGGGUGCGGCCCCCGUCUAAGUGCCCUGGAACGGGCCGUCAGAGAGGGUGAGAAUCCCGUCUUGGGCGGGGUGUCCGUGCCCGUGUAAAGCUCCUUCGACGAGUCGAGUUGUUUGGGAAUGCAGCUCUAAAUGGGUGGUAAAUUUCAUCUAAAGCUAAAUACUGGCCGGAGACCGAUAGCGCACAAGUAGAGUGAUCGAAAGAUGAAAAGCACUUUGAAAAGAGAGUUAAACAGCACGUGAAAUUGUUGAAAGGGAAGCGCUUGCGACCAGACUCGCCCGCGGGGUUCAGCCGGCAUUCGUGCCGGUGUACUUCCCCGUGGGCGGGCCAGCGUCGGUUUGGGCGGCCGGUCAAAGGCCCCUGGAAUGUAGUGCCCUCCGGGGCACCUUAUAGCCAGGGGUGCAAUGCGGCCAGCCUGGACCGAGGAACGCGCUUCGGCACGGACGCUGGCAUAAUGGUCGUAAACGACCCGUCUUGAAACACGGACCAAGGAGUCUAACAUCUACGCGAGUGUUCGGGUGUCAAACCCGUGCGCGCAGUGAAAGCGAACGGAGGUGGGAGCCCCCUUGCGGGGCGCACCAUCGACCGAUCCUGAUGUCUUCGGAUGGAUUUGAGUAAGAGCGUAGCUGUGGGGACCCGAAAGAUGGUGAACUAUGCCUGAAUAGGGCGAAGCCAGAGGAAACUCUGGUGGAGGCUCGCAGCGGUUCUGACGUGCAAAUCGAUCGUCAAAUUUGGGUAUAGGGGCGAAAGACUAAUCGAACCAUCUAGUAGCUGGUUCCUGCG
RNAcentral lists this ribosomal RNA (909 nucleotides) under Aspergillus niger. Its description in RNAcentral is "LSU rRNA". It matches the Rfam family "Eukaryotic large subunit ribosomal RNA", at positions 38 to 962 of the family's 3401-position model. Lineage: Eukaryota; Fungi; Ascomycota; Eurotiomycetes; Eurotiales; Aspergillaceae. The record is from RNAcentral. RNAcentral also lists the same sequence under 1 other name.